This is a long non-coding RNA of Betta splendens (Siamese fighting fish), 1191 nucleotides long. RefSeq lists it as uncharacterized. Lineage: Eukaryota; Metazoa; Chordata; Actinopteri; Anabantiformes; Osphronemidae. The transcript has 3 exons. The record is from RefSeq and is a predicted model, not a curated record.
GGUCUGCUUCAGACGGGCUCGAGCCGGGUUAUUUACCUCCCGCUCAGAUUCCCACACUCCAUUUUCCAUUCUCUUUGCCGCUAAUGCACCGUGUUUCCUGCUCUCCUCUCGCUCAUGCUCAACUUUACUUUUCCGUAUUCCUUCGAACUUUGUUGGGGAAACUGCAGCUCAGGAACCUGAGGCUGACAGUCACUCGGGUAAAACACUAGAAUACUGGUAUGUGAACUUGAUAACAUUUUAUUCACCUUUCUGUUUUUGUAUUCACCAUAAAUCUGACAAUAGUUGCUUCACAGUUUGACUUUCUCACCACCAGUUUCAAUUAUGAGCCCGAGUUCUUCUUACAUAACCACUGACAACAAAGCCGGUGUUUCAGGAAGUGUUGUGGACUCCUACAAUCGCACCCUUGCCGUUUCCCACACGUGACCGCGAGCAGCAUGACGACCGGCGUAGCAUUGAACAUGCCUGGACAUGUCUGGUUAACAGGAGGCUCCCUGCGGAUGCAGAGCAGGGAGGACGACGCUCGUGUGCUGAACGCGCGGCGCUUUCAAGGCGAACGUGAGUCACCUCUUCAGAUUUAAGCUGAAAGGUUCGCCCUCGUGUUCUCACACCGCUGCAAAGGUCGCCCAGCGUCGGGCCCCGGAGCAACUGGAGCCCACUUGAGUUUGUCACGGUGUUUUCUGCUGAAGGCUGCACGAAAGAGGCCGUGAGCGGAGACGGCUUUUUAAAAAUGGAACAAAGUAGCGCUGAAAAGCUGAGCUGGUGAAGCUGGGCGCAGCCACGCAUUCGGAGCGGACGAGGGGUCGUCGAGGGUCACGCCGGUUCGGCUGGAGCCUAAAAAUCCAUGACUCACGGGAGGAAGAUGAGUGAAUGGUGUCUGCUGUCACACGUGCAGAGCGGAGAACGUAGAAAAACACGCUUCAGUGUGUCAGCAGUGGUUCUCACGCAGCCCCAGAUCGCUUGGGUCUCAACCAGAAGCCAAUGAGCUCACUGUUCAGGGCCUUCAGUCUCUCUCCAGCUGGAGCUGACACCCUGCCAGGACGGCCAACGUGUGAGGACGGCCCUCGGGUGAGGACGGCCCCCGGGUGAGGACGGCCCUCGGGUGAGGACGGCCCCCGGGUGAGGACGGCCCUCGGGUGAGGACGGCCCCCGGGUGAGGACGGCCCCCGGGUGAGGACGGCCAACGUGUGAGGA